AGUUUAAUAUCAGGCCUUGAGACAAAAGUGACGUCACAACCACAAACAGCAGCCACAUGACCAGCACUGGCCUAUCAGGCACUGAGCCACAAGUGCCUAUCAGGCACUGAGCCACAAGUGACCUCACAAGCACAAAGAGCAAUAAUGUGUCUCCUUGUUGCCUGUCAUUUACA
This 173-nucleotide long non-coding RNA is filed under the name Apteryx haastii (Great spotted kiwi). RNAcentral's name for it is "lncRNA (ENSAHAG00000001578.1)". Lineage: Eukaryota; Metazoa; Chordata; Aves; Apterygiformes; Apterygidae. The record is from RNAcentral.